UAAACACGCUAGGGUUCUGGGGAAGAGCAAAUCGAAAUCUCCGAAGUUGAGACGAUGAAGAGGCUAUUUCAUUUUUCCUUCUUCUGCAAAACCGUGUUUUCCACUCGUUCUCCUCGCUCGCACGAUGCUGCCCUCCUCUUUGCCGUCUUACCUUACUCGGCCUCCGCCCCCGCCGCCGGCGCCGCAUCCGCCACUGUUGAGCGCAUGUUCAUGGCCCAAUACCUCGUCGACGCAUGUGGCUUCGACCAGGAGAAGGCCACCGAGGCCUCGAAGCUUCUCAAGGGCAUCCAAUCCCGGCAGCAGCCCGACUCCGUCCUUGCUUUCCUCAAAAGUUACGGCUUCGAUGACGCAUCAGUAAAAAGGCUCCUACUUUACUUCCCCAAAUGUCUUCUUUUGGACGUAGAGAAGACACUUGCCCCAAAGUUCCGAGCUUUCGAAGAUCUGGGUUUCUCCCCAUCCGACAUCGUCGACCUCGUCUGGUCGAAUCCCUCCACCGUCCAAGUCAAACAUGAACGCACUGUGCCUAAGAUCGAAUUUUGGCAAGGCCUUCUCGGGUCCAAGGAUGCGCUGGUGAAGUUGUUCAAGAGAAACCGAGCGAUUCUUUCGUACAGUAUCGAGAAGAAGAUCCAGCCCAACCUUGAGUUGCUCCGGGAAUGCGGCUUGGACGGCCCAAAGCUUACCUCUGUGUUGUGGUGCUGCCCACAGAUCGCGGCACAGAAUGCUGAUUUCUUGAAGACCUUGAUCAGUCGCGCGGAGGACUUGGGAGUGCCACAGACAUCGGGGAUGUUCCAUAUUACUCUGCGUGCACUCAUCAAGGUCAGUCGAGAGAAAUUCAAGAUGCAAAUGGAAUUGUUCAGGAGCUUCGGAUGGUCAAAAGAUGAUUUUGUUGUGGCAUUCCAAAAAUGUCCUUCCUUCACAGGAAUGUCUUUGAAUGCUUCUCAGAGAAAAAUGGAGUUCUUGAUCAAUGAGGUUGGAUAUGCUUCGUCAUACAUUGCUAUACAUCCAACACUAUUGGUAUUGAGCUUGGAGAAAAGGUUGAUUCCGAGACAUCAGAUCUUGGCAAUCUUGAAGUCCAGGGGGCACUGUGAAAAUGAUUACAAAGUUGCAACAUUCAUGUUGAUUUCAGAGGCCAAAUUCAUAGAGAAGUACAUUAUGGUCUACAAGGACAGGUAUCCAGAUCUGAGUGAACUCUAUGCAAAGCUUAAACCACUCUAAUGCUUCUGAUUCUGGACUUCAAUGAGUCGCUAAGAUUGACGUUGUAACAUGGACUGAUUUCAAGCAAAGCAAAGAAGUGAAGAAAAUAGAUGGUGCCUAAGAGCUAAAAUCGACUCGUUCUGCUCCGGUAAAUGACCCACUCGUCAUGGGUCAAUCUGUCUGACGUCUCUAUAAAAGAUGCCUCACUUGUUCAUGGAGGAUGUGACACUUCUAACCACAUGCGGACGAGAAGAUUCCCAACUCUAAUGCAACGCUACCUUGCCAUGUCAGCAUGAUAUCUCAUGAUUGGUUGACGAGAAAUUCUACCAUGGGGCGAGAGGCAUUUGUUGUGAAGACACACAUAUAUUGGCACUCUACUUAGCUCUACCACUACUUUAGAGCCAGGAUAACGACUAGGGUGUGGAGGACAAGACAUAGGAGUCUACCUCCACUAGUUGGUCAGGCACCCAUUAGACACUUGGUAACUAUGGUGGUGCAAGAGAUCACUACAUAUUAGCGGUAGCUAUGGACACAAUAGGCGACUAGAGGACAUUGACGGCAGAGGUUGGUCCGCCGCCUUGUCAUCCGUGAUUCAUUGUGAAUGACAGACUGGGGUCAUAGCCCAGUCUUAGCAUGUUUGAAGUGACCACUUUAGAUGGAG
Zingiber officinale is the source of this 1855-nucleotide RNA transcript. It is a transcript of the gene named transcription termination factor MTERF8, chloroplastic-like, with no coding region annotated. NCBI's taxonomy places the organism in Eukaryota, Viridiplantae, Streptophyta, Magnoliopsida, Zingiberales, Zingiberaceae. The record is from RefSeq and is a predicted model, not a curated record. The transcript has 3 exons.